RNAcentral lists this small RNA (78 nucleotides) under Flavobacterium nitrogenifigens. Its description in RNAcentral is "Flavo-1 RNA". It matches the Rfam family "Flavo-1 RNA". The record is from RNAcentral. Lineage: Bacteria; Pseudomonadati; Bacteroidota; Flavobacteriia; Flavobacteriales; Flavobacteriaceae.
CCCUAACCCAGAUAGCAGUGGAAAUCCUUUUGUGCCGAGGCUAGGUACAAAAGAUUAGGACGUAUAGAGGGGAAAGCU